This 253-nucleotide ribosomal RNA is filed under the name uncultured bacterium. RNAcentral describes it as "partial 16S ribosomal RNA". It matches the Rfam family "Bacterial small subunit ribosomal RNA", at positions 524 to 776 of the family's 1533-position model. The record is from RNAcentral.
UACGUAGGGUGCGAGCGUUGUCCGGAAUUACUGGGCGUAAAGAGCUCGUAGGCGGUCUGUUGCGUCGGCUGUGAAAACCCGGGGCUCAACCCCGGGCCUGCAGCCGAUACGGGCAGACUAGAGUUCGGCAGGGGAGACUGGAAUUCCUGGUGUAGCGGUGAAAUGCGCAGAUAUCAGGAGGAACACCGGUGGCGAAGGCGGGUCUCUGGGCCGAUACUGACGCUGAGGCGCGAAAGCCAGGGGAGCGAACGGG